This 494-nucleotide ribosomal RNA is filed under the name uncultured bacterium. Its description in RNAcentral is "bacterial SSU rRNA". It matches the Rfam family "Bacterial small subunit ribosomal RNA", at positions 35 to 518 of the family's 1533-position model. The record is from RNAcentral.
UGAAGCUAGCGGCAGGCUUAACACAUGCAAGUCGAGGGGCAUCGGGAGUAGCAAUACUUGCCGGCGACCGGCGCAAGGUGCGUAACGCGUGAGCAACAUGCCCGUAUCAGGGGGGAUAAUCCAUGGAAACGUGGUCUAAUACCCCAUAGUAAUUAUGUAAGGCAUCUUAUAUAAUUUAAAGCUUUGGUGGAUACGGAUUGGCUCGCGUGACAUUAGCUAGAUGGUAAGGUAACAGCUUACCAUGGCUACGAUGUCUAGGGGUUCUGAGAGGAAGGCCCCCCACACUGGAACUGAGACACGGUCCAGACUCCUACGGGAGGCAGCAGUGAGGAAUAUUGGACAAUGGAUGGAAAUCUGAUCCAGCCAUGCCGCGUGCAGGAAAAGACGGCCCCAUGGGUUGUAAACUGCUUUUGUAUGGGAGCAAUAAGGGCUACGCGUAGUCCGAUGAGAGUACCAUACGAAUAAGCACCGGCUAACUCCGUGCCAGCAGCCGC